GAUGAACGCUGGCGGCGUGCCUAAUACAUGCAAGUCGAGCGAACAGACGAGGAGCUUGCUCCUCUGACGUUAGCGGCGGACGGGUGAGUAACACGUGGAUAACCUACCUAUAAGACUGGGAUAACUUCGGGAAACCGGAGCUAAUACCGGAUAAUAUAUUGAACCGCAUGGUUCAAUAGUGAAAGACGGUUUUGCUGUCACUUAUAGAUGGAUCCGCGCCGCAUUAGCUAGUUGGUAAGGUAACGGCUUACCAAGGCAACGAUGCGUAGCCGACCUGAGAGGGUGAUCGGCCACCUUGGAACUUGGACACGGUCCAGGCUCCUACGGGAGGCAGCAGUAGGGAAUCUUCCGCAAUGGGCGAAAGCCUGACGGAGCAACGCCACGUGAGUGAUGAAGGUCUUCGGAUCGUAAAACUCUGUUAUUAGGGAAGAACAAAUGUGUAAGUAACUAUGCACGUCUUGACGGUACCUAAUCAGAAAGCCACGGCUAACUACGUG
RNAcentral lists this ribosomal RNA (497 nucleotides) under uncultured bacterium. Its description in RNAcentral is "partial 16S ribosomal RNA". It matches the Rfam family "Bacterial small subunit ribosomal RNA", at positions 28 to 507 of the family's 1533-position model. The record is from RNAcentral.